UACAGAGGGUGCAAGCGUUAAUCGGAAUUACUGGGCGUAAAGCGAGCGUAGUCGGUUAUUUAAGUCGGAUGUGAAAUCCCCGGGCUCAACCUGGGAAUUGCAUUCGAUACUGGAUAGCUAGAGUUCGGCAGAGGGAAGCGGAAUUUCGGGUGUAGCGGUGAAAUGCGUAGAUAUCCGAAGGAACAUCAGUGGCGAAAGCGGCUUCCUGGACCAGAACUGACGAUCAGGCUCGAAAGCGUGGGGAGCAAACAGGG
Molecule: ribosomal RNA, 254 nt
Filed under: uncultured bacterium
Lineage: Bacteria
Description: partial 16S ribosomal RNA
Rfam family: Bacterial small subunit ribosomal RNA
Source: RNAcentral